This 207-nucleotide ribosomal RNA is filed under the name uncultured bacterium. RNAcentral's name for it is "partial 16S ribosomal RNA". It matches the Rfam family "Bacterial small subunit ribosomal RNA", at positions 568 to 774 of the family's 1533-position model. The record is from RNAcentral.
CGUGUAGGCGGUUUAAUAAGUCAGAUGUAAAAGCCCCCGGCUCAACCGGGGAUGGUCAUUUGAAACUGUUAGGCUUGAGUGUGAGAGAGGGUAGUGGAAUUCCCAGUGUAGCGGUGAAAUGCGUAGAUAUUGGGAAGAACACCAGUAGCGAAGGCGGCUACCUGGCUCGCAACUGACGCUAAGGCGCGAAAGCGUGGGGAGCAAACA